UACAGAGGGUGCAAGCGUUAAUCGGAAUUACUGGGCGUAAAGCGCGCGUAGGUGGUUCGUUAAGUUGGAUGUGAAAUCCCCGGGCUCAACCUGGGAACUGCAUUCAAAACUGACGAGCUAGAGUAUGGUAGAGGGUGGUGGAAUUUCCUGUGUAGCGGUGAAAUGCGUAGAUAUAGGAAGGAACACCAGUGACGAAGGCGUACCACCUGGACUGAUACUGACACUGAAGGUGCGAAAGGCGUGGGGAGCAAACGAUGGAUUAGACUACCCGGCGUCAGCC
This 280-nucleotide ribosomal RNA is filed under the name uncultured bacterium. RNAcentral describes it as "partial 16S ribosomal RNA". It matches the Rfam family "Bacterial small subunit ribosomal RNA", at positions 524 to 795 of the family's 1533-position model. The record is from RNAcentral.